CAGUGCAGGGUGGAAGUGGAGGUAUGUGUACAGUCACCCCCAUUGUCUGUCAGGAUUACUGGGGGCAGAGUCGUCAUUAACCCCUUCACUACCAGCCCUCUCCCCCAGAUCCACUCUCCCUCUGGGGCUGACACUGCCCUCCAGUCCCUUCUUCAGGCUCUUUCCAGCAGUGAAGGUGCAGUGGUGAGGCUACCUCCCAACUGUCCCAGACCCGGUGGGACAGUCCCAGAGUUUGGUGGUUUUCCUGCAGUCCCAGAACGGCUGAGAAUUCCACCGCUUUUCCUUCUUGUUGUUACAAUCUCAGUGCUGAGGAGUCUGUAUAAUAAGCCCAAGACGAUCGAUUUGGGGUAAAUCCUGAGAUCCCAGCUGAUAGGAGGAGGGUAGUCUCAGCUCUGGAUCUAUGACGUCACCUACCAGAUUACAGGUUCCUACAAUAUAGGAUCCGCUCAGUGGAGAUCUUCUAUAUAAGAUCCUUCUCCUGAUUAACCCAUCAAGAAUGGAUAGGGACAGGGACAAGAUGGCGGAGAGUAUAAUAAAUCUCACCGUAGAGAUCCUCUUCUGUCUUACUGGAGAGGACUACACAGUAGUGAAGAAGACCUCUAGUGGGCGCUGUCAGGACCCUUUUUAUGAAGGAUGGGGAAGAACCCUGAGCCCAAUCACGAGGCCUCCACCUCACCCACAGAAACAUGAGGGAAUCAAUAGAGAGAAGAUCCUGGAACUCACCAACAAGAUGAUUGAGCUGCUGACUGGAGAGGUUCCUAUAAGGUGUCAGGAUGUCAGCGUCUAUUUCUCGAUGGAGGAGUGGGAGUAUUUAG
Long non-coding RNA from Bufo gargarizans (Asiatic toad), 815 nucleotides. RefSeq lists it as uncharacterized. The record is from RefSeq and is a predicted model, not a curated record. Lineage: Eukaryota; Metazoa; Chordata; Amphibia; Anura; Bufonidae. The transcript has 5 exons.